RNAcentral lists this ribosomal RNA (497 nucleotides) under uncultured bacterium. RNAcentral's name for it is "partial 16S ribosomal RNA". It matches the Rfam family "Bacterial small subunit ribosomal RNA", at positions 28 to 507 of the family's 1533-position model. The record is from RNAcentral.
GAUGAACGCUGGCGGCGUGCCUAAUACAUGCAAGUCGAGCGAACGGACGAGAAGCUUGCUUCUCUGAUGUUAGCGGCGGACGGGUGAGUAACACGUGGAUAACCUACCUAUAAGACUGGGAUAACUUCGGGAAACCGGAGCUGAUACCGGAUAAUAUUUUGAACCGCAUGGUUCAAAAGUGAAAGACGGUCUUGCUGUCACUUAUAGAUGGAUCCGCGCUGCAUUAGCUAGUUGGUAAGGUAACGGCUUACCAAGGCAACGAUGCAUAGCCGACCUGAGAGGGUGAUCGGCCACACUGGAACUGAGACACGGUCCAGACUCCUACGGGAGGCAGCAGUAGGGAAUCUUCCGCAAUGGGCGAAAGCCUGACGGAGCAACGCCGCGUGAGUGAUGAAGGUCUUCGGAUCGUAAAACUCUGUUAUUAGGGAAGAACAUAUGUGUAAGUAACUGUGCACAUCUUGACGGUACCUAAUCAGAAGGCCACGGCUAACUACGUG